RNAcentral lists this long non-coding RNA (789 nucleotides) under Numida meleagris (helmeted guineafowl). RNAcentral describes it as "lncRNA (ENSNMEG00000014812.1)". Lineage: Eukaryota; Metazoa; Chordata; Aves; Galliformes; Numididae. The record is from RNAcentral.
GGGAGCUCAGGUGCAUGCAGUGCACCUGAGUGAUGAGAAGGGGUGGAGCCUGAAUCCACCCCUCCUCACUCCUCAUUUAAGGGUUAGCAGCGAAGGGAGUAGCAUCUUUCUGGAUACAGAUUGUGCUUCUUUCCUGUUAUUGCUGGCCAUUGGAAGGGUGCUGGUAUCUGACUGCAAAGUCAGUGGGACAGAGAUCGGGGUCUUGCUGGACAACCCUGGAGCAACAGAGACUCAGUCCCAACUAGAGGGCUUAGGAACUGCAGAAACAGCUACUGCUUGGGCUCAAUUCCAGACCACCAGUGGGUUUCCUGGAUGUUUCUUUGGGUAUGUGGUGACAAAGGUGUUCAGGAUCCUUGCUGUGGUUGUAAAAACCUUUUUACCUAGGUUAUAAACAGAUGUAGAUAAUGGACCUACCAGAUGGAGAAUGAAAUCUUGAAAGCAGAACUGAGAUCUGUAUUUCCAACUGAGAAAGCCAAAUACUGUAAAUAUAUAUAUUUGGACCCUGGACAUCUUUCCAAAAUCCCAGGGGAGAGGCAUUCCUGUUGGAUCAAGCACUUCAGUGGCUAGUGUAUGCUUCAUGCCAUUACCACAAGGAAUAUGGUGGCCUGGCACAUGGUAAUGGUGCUAAGGACAAGGCUGUCUAGUUGAGACAUCAUGGGUGAAAUGGUGGUGUGGCAAGGCCAUACACGGGAGUCAUCUACAAGGAUUACUGUCCAAGGAAAUCUUACACCUCCUUGGAAAGCAUGGACUCGAAUUCAGAAGUUUUUGGCUUUCCAAAGAGCUGCAAGU